AGCCUACUCUAGCCCGACCAUUACAUCUGCAAAAAAAGACAAAAAUUUACUUAAAACACUAAACUAAAACAUUUUCACGUCUAAGUAUAGGUGAUAGAAAAGACAAUUGGAGCGAUAGACCUUAGUACCGUAAGGGAAAAAUGAAAUAACAAUGAAAACUUAAGCGAAAAACAGCAAAGAUAGACCCUUGUACCUCUUGCAUCAUGAUCUAGCAAGAACAACCAAGCAAAACGAACUUUAAGCUUGCCAUCCCGAAACCCAAGCGAGCUACUCACAAGCAGCUAUCCAUGAGCGAACCCGUCUCUGUAGCAAAAGAGUGGGAAGACUUGUUAGUAGAGGUGAAAAGCCUACCGAGCUGGGUGAUAGCUGGUUGCCCGUGAAACGAAUCUAAGUUCCCCCUUAAUUUUACUCUAAAAGACCUAACCCCCUCCUACGUAGUAAAUUAAGAGCAAUUUAAAGGAGGUACAGCUCCUUUAAAAAAGAACACAAUCUCCCCCAGAGGAUAAGUACCCCCUUUAAAUUCUUGUAGGCCCUCAAGCAGCCAUCAGUAAAGAGUGCGUCAAAGCUCUACCCUAAAAAAAUCUAGAAACUCAUACGACUCCCUCACCCAUAACGGGCUAACCUAUAGAAAUAGGAGAAUUAAUGCUAGAAUAAGUAACUAAGGGAUUCCUUCUAAAGCACAAAUUUACAUACUACAUUAUUAACAGACCUACCAUAUACCAAAACUACUACAAGAUAAAAUAUUACACAACUCUGUUAAACCAACCCAGGUGUGCCUAAUUAGAAAGAUUUAAACCUGUAAAAGGAACUAGGCAAACCCAAGGCCCGACUGUUUACCAAAAACACAGCCUUCAGCGGACCAAGUAUUGAAGGUGAUGCCUGCCCAGUGACACAAAGUUCAACGGCCGCGGUAUCCUAACCGUGCAAAGGUAGCGCAAUCAAUUGUCUCAUAAAUCGAGACUUGUAUGAAUGGCCAAACGAGGUCUUAACUGUCUCUUACAGGUAAUCAGUGAAAUUGAUCUCCCCGUGCAAAAGCAGGGAUACAUCCAUAAGACGAGAAGACCCUGUGGAACUUAAAAACCAGCAGCCACUCCAAACCAAAUCUAACCCCACCAGGCUCACUCAAAAAUAAUCUGGCUCGCAUUUUUUCGGUUGGGGCGACCUUGGAGAAAAACAGAUCCUCCAAAAAUAAGACCACAUAUCUUAACCUAGACCAACCACUCUAAGUACUAAUAGUAACCAGACCCAGCAUAGCUGAUUAAUGAACCAAGCUACCCCAGGGAUAACAGCGCAAUCCCCCUCAAGAGCCCAUAUCGACAGGGGGGUUUACGACCUCGAUGUUGGAUCAGGACAUCCUAAUGGUGCAGCCGCUAUUAAGGGUUCGUUUGUUCAACGAUUAAUUAGUCCUACGUGAUCUGAGUUCAGACCGGAGCAAUCCAGGUCGGUUUCUAUCUAUGAUCAACCUCUCCUAGUACGAAAGGACCGGAGAAGUAAGGCCAAUACUACAAGCACGCCUUCCCCCUAAAGUAAUGAAUAUAUCUAAAUUACCAAAAGGGCCCCCACCACAAUCCUAAACAAGGACAGCUAGC
This 1589-nucleotide ribosomal RNA is filed under the name Zapornia paykullii. Its description in RNAcentral is "16S ribosomal RNA". It matches the Rfam family "Bacterial large subunit ribosomal RNA". The record is from RNAcentral. Lineage: Eukaryota; Metazoa; Chordata; Aves; Gruiformes; Rallidae.